UUAUGGUGGAUGUUGCUCAUGUGUCAUUUAAGGACAAGGCCAGUCCAUCCUAUAGGUUACAUGGAUCGCCUCUUAGGGCACCAUAUUCUGCAUAAUUUGAGUAUUUUAUUUUUAAUUUAAUUUAACAUUUUAGUGUAGUUUUAGUCAACAAAAAUUACUGGAUAUUUUGGUAAUCAAAUCUACUUCAGAUUUAGUUGACUAAAUUUACAAUACAUGCAGUCAAUAAAAAUAGGUUUAACCAUAAUGUAAUAUAUAUGCAGACACACACACAUGUACAUGUAUAGAGCAGGAAGAAGGACGUGGACACGGCAGUCAACCAAAACAGAAUGUAGUUUAUUGUUUAUUAUUGUGUUGGGCUGAGCGCCAGAGGGCGUAACACUUAGGUGAGAGGGAGUCCCUUUAAUGAAAUUCACCAAGUGAGUCGGAGGGUCGCCUGAGCUUAACACAGAUAUAAACGGUUUACAGAUAGACUUAAGAGCCUGAACUGCAUGGUUAACAUAGUUGCAGUCAUUUAGACUAACAGCAACUAAGUCUGAAGUCUACAAUUAAAUGCUUAUCGGUAAAGCAAAAACCCUGAUACAGGCAGUCCCCAGGUUAUGAAUGAGAUCCAUUCCCUAAGUCUGUCUUUAAAUCAAAUUUGAAGGCAAGUCAGAAAAAGAAUAAUACAGUAAUUAGUAAUAAUUAUUAUACAUUAAUAAUGAAAUGAACUAUAUUUAGUACUGUACUAGUACAAACCGCUGAAGCCACACAAUGUUUUCAUGAGCAUCACAAAGUACUAUGAGCAUUCAUUAUUAAAAACCAUUGUAUUUCACUCCUAUUUUUAUAUAAUAUACGUACUUAAGGCAGCUAACAACACUUCUUUCAGAUUUAUAUUAUAAUGACUUUGGAGCCAUACAGUAACACCAUAUUACAAAUGGUGAAGCAAUUGUCAUCCACUGAAAUUUCUACAAGAAUGUUACACCAGUUCGGGGAAACAAGGGCUUUUUCUGCAAGGAGUAUAAGAAGAUUUUGUGCUGAACGUGGUUCAGGCUUGGGUCGGUGCUCAGACGCAUACUGUACUUAGAGCUAGAGGAGACAAAUGCUGUCAAACGUGGGCAUAAAUUAGAGAGCCAAUAAAUCAAAACCAACUAAUACAACCCCCCCAAUAAUCAUGUUCCCCCCAUAAUGGGUGGAGACAUAAACCCCUCCAAUAUUCCAGCCAAAGUUAUACCCUUGCUGUCAACGAGGUAAGAUACUUGCUUUAUUUCCAUGUUACUCCCUUAAAGUGCGUGUGAGUUUGAAAAUGAAAAACACAGACUUAAUACCUUAUUUUCAAGUUGUUUAUUUCAUGUAUGUUUAUAUGUAUGCAUAUUGUAGCAUUGGCUUUGAGUCCAUUUAUUCACCCUUUAGUCGCUACAUGAUCUGUACAUCCUAUGGGAUCCGUUGCUUCCAGAUCCGGCUCAUGCACAGUAUACAUGUGCACCUGCGUGAUUCUUUGCCAGAUUUGGACAGUGUAUGUGUUCAGAAUUCAAGCAUGCGUACACCGACUAUUUUACGACUGCGGCUCGAUCCACUGUGCUGCAUACGUUUACAACUCGUAGUCAAUUCUAAGCACGCAUGGGUGUACAUGGACAAUUUUUUGAGGGCAAACAAAUACAGCGAUCAGAAUCUGUUGUUAUAGACAAAUAUACCAACUCCACACAUGAAUCCAAGGCCCAGAGGUGUGAGGCAGCGGUACUAACCACUGCAAGAUAAAUAUAUUGAAUACCUUUGUAAUUAUCUCAUCAUAGUUGCCAAGUUUCAUAUUCGUAAGUGUAGGUUUCUGGAAAUUACUCCAAAUAGUAUUAUUUUUGAAAAUGAGUUAAAAAUAUUCUUGAAAGAAAACGAAUAGUGAUAGUGUCACAGCUCUCACAGGGAAGCAGGCGAAGGAAGCCAUGGAUACAGACAAAGGACUUUAUUAUGGGCUAACACACUCAAUAACAACAUGUAACGUUAAUGACCAGACUCAGGAAACAAAUUGAAAAGCAGACUAAAUACAUUGAACUAAUGACAACAACAGGAAGCAGCUAGUGAACACGGGGAAUCCACAUGGGGUUGAUGAGGGGGCGUGGCACACGGGAGGAUCGGACGAGCGGGGCAUGACAGAUAGUCCCAAGAGAUUGUGUGCGAAAUCAGUCGUUUUUUUCCCAAAGGAAUAACCUCCUUGUCUUUGGAUGUUUAUACACGUAUAUAUUUUUUUAUUUAUGAUUGCUGCUUGGUUGCUAUAAAACUGUAUUAUGUGUAUAAUGAUAAAAUUGCUAUCUUUAAGUAGUAUCAAUAAAAAAAUUACAUUCAUUCAGUUACUUUUAUUGAAUAGAACAGCAAAUACAUCUUCCCCUUUCUCGUAAUCAAAAACUCAUACGAGAAUGUAUUUCAAGGAGAAAUAUAACUCAUUAUAGAACAUCUGCAAAGGACAAGAACAUCUGACCAGACACCAGAGUCCAAAUCAAAUGCACAAUUGUUUCAGAAAGCUCGUGUCAAUGUCCUUUUAAAUCUAGUAGAAAAGAACAUUUUGACCAGGUAGUAUUUAUGCAACAAUUUAAUGAUACUUCACUCAGCUUAAUAGUCAAAAGUAGAAAAUUGCUAACAACAAUACCAGCCCAAUAUGAAACCAUGUGAGGUACAGGUACAUUAUCUUGUAGAAAAAGAUUUUUUUAUUGUUGUGACUUGCUGAGAAAUACAUUUCCCACAUUUGUUCCACAGGGAUCAAACCUGAAACAACAGUAACUAGACUAUACUUUUAGCGUAGACGCGUUCUCACGCAUGCGUUAUCAUAGAUAGGGAGACUGCUGUAAAUAGGGAGUCCGGUCCAAAACACUAGCAACGUACGCAGGCGCACAUGUACACUGUGCAUGAACCGGAUCCAGAAGCAAUGGAUCCCGUAGGGUGUACGGAUCGCGUAGUGACACGCACCCAUUAUAAUAUAAAUCCGAAAGAAGUGUUGUUGGCUAAGACCAGCCCUGCUUUGUUCCGCUUCACCUGUGUGUCCGGGAUGUUGAAAGUAGUGCCACUUGUGCUCGCACACGCGCACACGAUUUGUACGUGACAUCCGGUGCCAGAAAACGAUAAAACCGCCCAAUUCUCGUUCCGGUUAGCUUCAGUUUUUAUUGUGCAUAUUUUAAAGGAAAAUUUAAAAAAUGGUUUGUUUUCUAAUAUUUUGACUUUGGAUUUUAUAUUAAAAAACAAAUCACCUGUUGUUUAUGGUUUUUUAAUUAUUGAUUCCAAAACGAAAAUCGAAUGGCCAAAAUAUACACGGUCCAAGAUACCAGUUUCCACUGAGGAAAAAGUUAGGACACCCUCACAUGCCAUUAUUUAAAAUGAUUAGAAUUAGUCAGGUGACCCAUAUCAGGUGAAAAUGAUUAAACAUGGUUGCAGAGCUUUUUGCUGGAGCCUGUCUUAUUUAAAUCACAGACAUUUAGCUUGAUUUGCUCUUGAUUGUUGAAAUGAGUAGUAUUGCCAUGAUGAGGUCCAAAGAACUCCCUAAAAUAAAUAAUAAAAAAUAAAAAAGAAUAUUGCCUGGGAGCAAGUGACAGAGGCAGUAAAUGCGGUCGGGUCAGAGGGGAGGUCCCUGUCAUAAAUAAAUUAAAAAAUGGUUCAAUAUCAAACUAAAUACCAGAAAACGUGUCUCGGCACACAGACGGGACAGAUCUGCUACCGUGGAUGGACAGAUCACUACAGAGCUGACGACAUUUGACACGCGUGUUGCCAGCAUUAUUGGAGAUACUGCUUUGUCUGGCAUCAGUACGCAGAGACAGUGACAACCUUCACCAGCAGAUCAAGCAGGACCAUCCAAUUUCCACAAUGAAGAAACUCUGCCAAGUCCCUGGGUCACACAGGAGGAGCAGCCACGGGUCGAGCAGCUGGUGCAGGGGCUGUCAGUGCGUCGGGAGCCGAAGGUGUUGACUGACGCGGACCUAAGAGAUCAAGGGGAGACAAUCAAGUCAACUAACUGAAGCAGUUAAUAAUGAUGAACAAUGUUUUUGUUGAGAUUAACAAAUAUCUUAAAUUGCCGCAUGUGUGUCAUACAUGGAAAAUAAAUAGUGUUACCAGUUUAAGUUGCAAAAUAAGAGUUUUUUUUCCAUCAAUCAAUGUGCUGUUUGUUUGAUUACCUACAUUAAAAUCUCUGAAUGACCCUCACUCUUGUCUGAAUGGCAGCAGCAUUUGGUGGUGGAGGAUGCUCUGCGUCAGGCACGGGGGGGUCUGGUAUUGGGGGUUACUGCAGAGGAAUGCCUUGUCUGAUGGCCAAGUUGUAGAGUACACAACAAGCCAUGAUUAUGCGGCACACCUCUUCAGGUCGAUAUUGCAGGGUACCUCCGAUACUUGAGAAACACAGCCACCGACCUUUCAGGAGACCUAUUGCGCGUUCCAUUGUGGAUCUUGUCUACGCAUGGGCUCUGUUAUAAUUUUGCUCCUGAGCGGUCACUGGAUUUGGUAUCUGAGUCAUGAGCCAGGGCUUCAAUGCAUAACCUUGAUCACCUAAAAUGUAAGGUUAUAAUAACUGUUGUAUAUAAUUACUCAAGCAAUAACAUUUUCAAAAACUGUCACACUCACCAAUAAGCCAUCCAUCCUCAACAUCACCUCUCUUGAGACACACUCCGAUGGAGCUGUUUUGCACAUUAAAUGAAUCGUGCGUACCUCCAGGCCACCGGGCAACAAAAUUUUAAAUGCUUAAAUGAGCAUCAGCAAUUAUUUGUACAUUAAUGGAAUGAAUCCCUUUUCUAUUGACAUAAUUAAAUUUGUAUUGUGAUAGUG
This is a long non-coding RNA of Brienomyrus brachyistius, 4770 nucleotides long. RefSeq lists it as uncharacterized. The transcript is spliced from 2 exons. The record is from RefSeq and is a predicted model, not a curated record. Lineage: Eukaryota; Metazoa; Chordata; Actinopteri; Osteoglossiformes; Mormyridae.